RNAcentral lists this ribosomal RNA (458 nucleotides) under uncultured bacterium. RNAcentral's name for it is "SSU rRNA". It matches the Rfam family "Bacterial small subunit ribosomal RNA", at positions 26 to 518 of the family's 1533-position model. The record is from RNAcentral.
AGAAUCAACGCUGGCGGCGUGCCUAACACAUGCAAGUCGAACGAGAAAGUGGAGCAAUCCAUGAGUAAAGUGGCGCACGGGUGAGUAACACGUGACUAACCUACCUUUUAGUGGGGGAUAACCUAGGGAAACCUGGGCUAAUACCGCAUAAUACCUACGGGUCAAAGCAGCAAUGCGCUGAAAGAGGGGGUCGCGGUCGAUUAGUUAGUUGGCAGGGUAAUGGCCUACCAAGACUGUGAUCGAUAUCCGGCCUGAGAGGGCGCACGGACACACUGGAACUGAAACACGGUCCAGACUCCUACGGGAGGCAGCAGUGGGGAAUUUUGCGCAAUGGGGGAAACCCUGACGCAGCAACGCCGCGUGGAGGAUGAAGUCCCUUGGGACGUAAACUCCUUUCGAUCGGGACGAUAAUGACGGUACCGGAAGAAGAGCCCGGCUAACUUCGCGCCAGCAGCCGC